AGACAAAAGAAAGGUUAAGACCAUUUUAGGCUUGGACUACUGGGCUCUCUAUCAAAACAUAUAUCCUUUCAGUUACAAAGUAUAGAAUACAAGAAGCUAAUUUUUGGUAAAGGAUUUCAUACAUUACAGAUCUCUAACUGAAAAUAGGAAAAGAUAUAUCCCCAAGGCCCAAAGAACACCUAUUUUUUGACAAUAUCGACGGUUUAGAGCGCAUACACGAGCGACUUUCAGAUGCUGGGGCCUGAGGACACUGUUUUCACGUUAAAACAGAGAGCAGUAAAUCUUAUGGAUGAUUUUGACAUGGCGAGUUUUUACAAUGAUAUGCACCAGUUAUCCUUCUAUUUAAGUCGACUUCAGAGUUUCUUUCAGAAACUUUUUAUUUUAAUUAUUCUUGUUUUGUUUAUGUUUCUUUCAAAUUUCUUGAAUAAUUAAACAAGUUUGUGUGCUGCAAUUUUCAGCCGGUAUUUCAAUAUUAUGCUAAAAAUAUAUCAGCAUUUACACUCUUUA
Molecule: long non-coding RNA, 507 nt
Organism: Xenia sp. Carnegie-2017
Lineage: Eukaryota; Metazoa; Cnidaria; Anthozoa; Malacalcyonacea; Xeniidae
Exons: 2
Source: RefSeq, a predicted model, not a curated record